ACAGCCAUGGAAGCCACUGAAUCCUUCGACAUUGUAGCAGUUAUUGAGUUUGGUUUAUGAAGCGAGCGGAGACUCGGGCGCAGAUGUCGGGAUUAGCAUGUCCCGGGUAACAUGUUCGACUAACUUCGUAGUCAGACGCCACCAGCACUUUCUUUUCACGAGCAUGUAUGAGCUUAUAUUUGGUUUAUGUGGAGGAUAAACGCUUAAACAUUCACACAUUUAAUCGCCUGACAGGCGAAUUAGCUGCUAAUAGCUCGCUAGCUCUCCUGUCAGUUAAUUUAAGGCCAGCGUUUGAUGCUAAUGUCUUCAAUCAUUAGCUCGUUACACGACUAAAGGUGGAUUUGUUUCUCUUUGUCGUGUCUUAAGGUGAUAAUUGUGUGAUGAGUCGAUCCGCGAUCAUUUACAGUGGAUAACUUUGUCGUCGGUUCCGCUAGUGUGUUGGUACUGGCCCAGUUGGACCUGCUCUAUAUGUGUCCGAACCAAGGAAUCGUGAAGGCCGAAGCCUGUCGAUCCUAAAUAUUUGUUACAAAGUAAAACAAAUCUUAACCUGUUUGUUCUGGUGUGACACACUGUAAAGGUUCGGCUACACAUAACAUACAAGUACUUAACAUGUUAUACCUUCAUUUCUGUAUAAUGUUACACAAUGUCGUUAUUAGCUCACCAUAAAAUCUUUUGUUACUUUUUACGGUUAUGUAGUUUAAUAAUGUGUUCUUCUUGUGCCCAUUUGCACAAGAAUAACUUUUUGAUGCUUUAAAUAAUAAUAUUAUUUCUAAAAAUGGAUGAUAUUUUAAUGCUUAAAUUGGUAGCUAUUCAAACAAAAGAAAUACUUCCAGAUGUGGUAGGUUCACUCUACUUUAUUUUCUUAAACUGGGCUUAUUUAUUUUUAUUUUUUUUAUUUUUUUAUUAUUAGGCAUUCAACUUUGGAAAGCUGGAUUUGACUGAUAUGGAAUAGGAAUUAGGUAUGCUGUAUUUAGUAAUGAGUUGCAUAUAUUUUUCAUAUGUAUAUGUGUUUACGCAGCGUUGUAUUUGUGUGUACCAUUUCACUCGUCGAUGGUUCUUUCGGAAGUUAUGUUUCGCACCUCUUGCAUGAAGUGAUGUCGGCACUCUAUUCUGAACCGUUGCCCAACUAAUUUUAGUAACUUUCUUUAGUUAGUUUAGCUGCUUGUGCUCACUUGCCCACUCUCCUCGUGCCUCAGCCCGGGAAACAACGGCACUGUUUUGAAAAAUGAGGGCGGUUACCUGGUUGAUCCUGUUGCUAGCACAUGUGCCUGUCAAAGAUUGCACGCAAGUUCAAGUACAAACCGCCAGUUCAGUGAAACUAGGAGUAGCUCUUAUUGAGUUACUGAAGUGAGAGCAUGGUUUCCCCCUCAGCAACUUCUUCCUGAUUUUUUUUUUUUAUUAAUAUUUCUUUUCAUUUUGAAGGCUUCAGAACAGUCUUGCGUUUUUAUAUUUAUGUCAUGAACGCUGGUAUGCCAAUGCAUGACUGUAAGUUUUCUGGUUGAUCGUGCUGGUGUAAUAUGUUGUUCAGUGACGGAGGCUGUCUAUGCAGGUUUUUAGGAUUCUAAGACGAGGUGUCUCACAUUUGGAUUUGGUACAGGUAUAUAUGGCAUUGCGGCAGGAUGUUUUCAAACUGUAACUUUGUUUCCUGCAGCUUGAGGGCAAAAUUUUAUGGAAUUAAUACAACUCAAAUGCUCAUUUUUUUUCUCUUUAAUUUGAGUCAGGAUGAAAAUAUCCCCCUCUGUCGCACAAAUAAAUGAUAUUUAAUCUAAUCUCCAGUAAGACUCACAGAGUCAACAACGUUAACAGCUUCAGAUGUCCCACCAAUAGCAGUGUAUUUCCAUACCACGUUCACUAAUCAAAUGUGGCUGCAUAGCCGUGGGUUCACAAAGGCAUAAUUUCUAUCUAAUCCAGCAAAAGUGAAACACCCAACCAGACUUAGUAUAUGCCUUAUCGAAAUGAAAAGCAAGACCGUUGACUUGUUUGGAACUUGGAGAGUUGGUCAUGGUAAUAUUGUUUAGUAGUGAUCAGCUGAGGAGGCACUUAAAACAGGAAAACAAUUGCAGUUAACCCAGUCGCUGGAUUUUGUGUUGUGUUUGUUUUAUAGUACUUAACAUUAGGCCUGCACGAUUCACGGGAAAAUCUGAGUCACAAUUUUUUAGCUAAGAAUUGAUAUCGCAAUUCUCUGCCACGUUUUUUUUCCCCUAAUGAAAUACGUAGUUUAUUGCACACAUAAACCAUGACAAAACAAAGUUGCAUCGCCAGGCAUGUGACGUUUGAGGUGCUGAUAAAGAUUUGUGGUAGCGAUGCUCCGAUCAGGGUUUUUGCUGCCGAUCAGGAUACCGAUCACAUGAAUUGACAAUGAAUUUGUAGUCAAAAUGAAGAGACCUUCUGUGUCGAAGAUGUGAUAACAAAUCAUUUUAACUCAGAAAGGUUUUAUUAUACCUCUUCUAGAAGGCAAAAAAAUCUUGCAGAAUGCAGCAACUUAUUAUAUAAAAAUUGAUACAACUGAAAAACAUGUAAUUUGGGAACUCAGAAAAUAGUAGCUUGCAGCGCCGCUUGGGAGCGUAAAACUCACAAAGGAAAUUAGCGUUUGUGAUGCAAAGCCAGUCGGUUUGCAAAUUAAAUCAGACACAAGGGUGAAUCGAAAUCGCAUUUUUUUUAAAAAAGAUUUAUCGUGCAGGCCUACUUAACAUUGAGAUUUUACAGGAAAGAGGCUGCUGCCCCGUCCAGGAUAAGUAGCCCUCUAUGACUUGAUGUGGACAGUCAUUUUCUUUAUUUCAAUCUAUCCCACACUACAUAUGAUUGAGUUUGAGGAAGCAGUACUUACUGUAAAAAUUGUAACGUCUUCUUUGCCACUUUGCCAUAUGAGCUGUACAACACCCCAUUAAAAACAACCAUUCUGUUACCACAUUGUUGGGAUGACACGUGCUGAGUUAGCAACAGUCCACUUAGGUCUUUAUCAUCACAUCAUAUCAUCAUCAUAUCAUAACCAUCAUAUCGUCACCAUGAGGCACUCUUACAUCUUUCGUUUGGUGAUUCGUGGUUACUAUGUAUUCUAUUAGUUUUAUUUUAAUUGGUGAAUCAAUGUUUUUUUAGUUGUGGAAGCAGAGGUUAAUUUAGAGAAGCCCAUCAUUUAAUGACAACCAUGGCCUCUUGUGAAUUGUGUAUGUCGCCUUUUUGCCACUAACAGUGCAGCUCCUGUAGAGUGCUCCUAAUCUGUAGUGUGUUGGGUGUUGAAAUAGGGGGAAAGUAAGGACACAAAGAAGGUGUCGUGAGAUGCCAAGAGUGAUUCAACAAACAAGUCACCCCAUCUCCAAUUGAUCUGCUAAUGGACAUAUGAAUGUCAGUACUGGUCCACAAUGCAAAUGAAUAAGUCUCAUUAUCAUGGGUUCCAGUUCAUCAUACAUCUAUUUACCAUGCUGACCAGGCUCUCCUUGCAAUGGGCCAAUUGGGAUAGGUGUUGUUGAACGCUUUUGGGAUACAUUGGGGAAAUGAUGCAGCGAAAUGAUGCAGUGUAAUCAUGACAUAGUCGGUCAGCCUUGAAAAGGCAGACAGAAAUAUUGGUACCACAAGCACAGAGGUGUGUGUCUCAAUUCAAAUGUUUAUACCAGUUCAAGUGGGUCAUGUUCAGUUUUAUCAUCUGCCUUCCCUUACCUCAAUGUUAUUUUACUCUCGAUUUUCCCUCUUUCGACUUUGCGACUGUACGGUUAGAAACCUGCAGCAUUAGCAGCUGUUAUUUAUGGCUGUGGUUGGAGGUCAUGAAGUGAGAAUAUUGAGUAUUGACCCUCGAUGUCGCCCAGCUGGCCCACACUGUUGUUUUAUGGUCUGCCAUGUAUGAGCAGUUGGCCACCAUGUGAUGAGGGGGAUAAAGGCUGACAGCAAAUGUUUCUGCUGGACUAGAAUCCUGCCUGAUAAUAUUUCUAGCCUUCCGUUUUUUUCCAUUCACUAUCAGUCAGUAAAUACAUUUCACCUGUAAUAAGUGCAGAAUCUCUCUGUCAUGUAGACAAGCAUCGAUAGAUACUCAAACAGUCUGAAAUAAUUACAAAGUUUACCCACUUUAGUUCCUCAUACGGUAGUACAGAGAUUAUUUUAACCAGCUCUAUAUCAACUAAAUAUUUUUGCAAUACACACAUCUGUGUAUUUCUUAAACGCAGAGAACUGUGGAAAUUGUAUGUUUUUCUGUAACAAAUCCAUGGGGGAUUAUAUUACUCAGAUAAUCUGGGGUAUACAUCUUUCAUGAACUUUGAGGGAUAUUAAUAUUUAAAUAUGAUGUUUAUGUUUUCUGGGCAUUUUUUUUCCUACUGUCCUAUACUGACACAGUUGUAUUUUUUGUUUUUAACUGAGUUAGCCUUUGUUUUUUUCCCCACAAGGGAAAGAGCAAACUUCUUAAUUCGUUGCUGAGUGUGACACAAGUUGGUAUGAAAUAAACGCAUACACUAUUGGUUCAAGGGAACCAGUGAAGUUCCUAUUUGGUGGCCAACUAUACUUUGGUUAUAUGCAUUUGCGUUGCUUUUGAGCUCAAUUCUUUUGUGGCUUCAAUCCGUCACCACUCUUGGUCCACUCUCAUUAAUUAGUCGGCCAAUUUCUACCUCUGUUUUCAUUUCUUGAAUUUACACCUGCAUUGUCCUUGACCAGACAAUGGAGAUUAACCAAACUGCAUUGUCUACAAUUUUUAAAAUAGACAGUCACUUUGCUAUCUUAUUUUAAUGUGUGAAUUCUGUCUGCAUUUAUUUUGGUAGUCAUAUCAAUCUUAACUUUCUUUAUUUUGCAUCAAUUUCCAUAUUCAUAGUUUGUUGAAUCUCCUUUAUUUUCUCUAUGCCACACAAAUGGGAACAUAACACAUAAUUGUGGUCCCAUUUCAAAAUUGUUUUCUUCUGAUGUUGGUGGUCACCUCUGUCAAUGUCGAUGCAUGUGCGAAAUAGGAUGACUAAAGUCGGUGUUGCAGCACACCGAGAUGCUCUCAGCCUCGACUUCAUGCACAUAACAACCAGCUCUUUUGUCCCUACUUUGCCCCGAUCCUCCCACACAGUCCUCAUGAUGUCCCAGAGACAGAGUGUCUUUAUCCCUGCCUUCCAAAGACCCAUCUCGCUCACAUGUUUUAGGCUCAGUACAAAAAGAUGGCAGCUUAAAUGGACAAAAAUGUGCUUUCGGUAAUGGCGGCCACCCACCAAGCAUUUGACACCGAGCAUUGUGUCGCUACUCGCAUUUAAAAUCAGUUUUAGUGUUUUAGGGAUCUGUUAUGUUCAGGUGAAAUGAAUUGCUCUCUUCUUUGUGCCUUCUUUUUUGACUAUGUUGAAGUGUUCUGUAUGAUGGGGGAGGAGACAAGAGGGGGUCUGGCCAGAGGCUUGCCAAAUCAGAUGGAAGAGCAGUUUGGAAGGGGAUGGCACAGUAAAGGAGGCGAGUGAGGGAACAAGACGGAGAGGGAGGAGUGGAUGGAAGAGAAAGUGACAGUGUGGUGUGUGUUGCUAGGAAAAAAGAUACUGGGAGGAAGAGAGUAAAUGGGUGAGGUUUAUAUAAAAGGCGGGGUUGUGGUUGCGUCACAUGAUCUAUUGGCAGAGUGGCCUAGUAAGCUCCAGGUGGCAGAGAAGCUAGAAGAGAAAAAGGAACCGGACACAAAAGAUUCCGAGCUGUCCCGCUCCUGCCCGCUUCUCUCCGGCACCUCUGCAGUCCUGGCCCAGUAGGGCCAGGGAAUGACCCGGCAGCAGGAUGCCUUACGUGGACAGGCAAAAUCGUAUCUGUGGCUUCUUGGACAUCGAGGAGAACGAGAGCAGUGGCAAGUUCCUGCGUCGAUACUUCAUUCUGGACACACAGCAGGGCAGUCUAGUCUGGUUCAUGGACAACCCACAGAACUUGCCGAUCGGUGCAGAGUGUGUGGGAUCGCUUAAGCUCACGUACAUUUCCAAGGUCAGUGAUGCAACCAAGCUGAGGCCCAAAGCGGAAUUCUGUUUUGUCAUCAAUGCUGGGAUGAGAAAGAUCUUCCUGCAGGCUAACGAUCAACAGGACCUCGUGGACUGGGUCAACGCGCUCAACAAAGCCACUAAGAUCACUGUUCCAAAAACAACAGAUGGCCAGCAGAAUUCUGAGACCCUGAAGUGUGUAACUGAUGUCUCUGGACCUAAAAAACAAGUUUCCUACAAGACUGAAAUUAUUGGAGGAGUUCCCAUUGUUACUCAGACACAGCAUGAAGGGACAGAUGGCGCUGACCGAACCGAACGUGAGGCCAUGCAUCGCUCGCACAGUCAGCUGCCGUACUUCUUGGGCCGACCGACUCAGGAGCACACGGUCAUCAAGUCAGGAUACUGUGUCAAACAAGGAGCAGUGAUGAGGAACUGGAAACGUCGCUAUUUCCUUCUGGAAGAAAACUCAAUGAGCUACUUCAAAUCUGAUUUGGAGAAAGAACCUUUAAGGAUGAUUCCACUCAAGGAGGUUCACAAAGUCCAGGAGUGCAAACAGAGUGACAUCAUGAUGCGAGAUAAUCUCUUUGAGGUUGUCACGACUUCCAGGACGUUCUACAUUCAGGCGGACAGUCCAGAGGAGAUGCACAGUUGGAUCAAAGCUGUUUCUGGGGCCAUUGUGGCUCAGCGGGGGCCCGGGAGGUCUGCUGCCACAAUGCGGCAGGCCAGACGGCUGUCGAACCCUUGUAUACAGAGGUAUACAUCCCGAAUCGGGGAGUGCAGCAGCACCCUGCUGCAGCUCUGUACCUGUCUUAGAUGUGUGACUUCCUGCUUGUCUCUUCUCCUCCCUCCUGUCCACUGCCUGUAUGUUUUUCUCCUUUCUUUGUCAUUUACACUGACGUUCAGUCUGUGCUAACUCUUCAGGAGCAUCAAAGUCAGUGUGAGGAAUUAAUUCUUGCUGAAGUAACUGUUAACAAUAAUGACAUUAUGUCAUGUUUUCAUUUGAUUAAUGGGAUUUAUGGGACAUUUGUGUGUCAUAAAUCUACAUCUGUGGCUUCAUCCACGCUUAAGUGAACUCAUUUUUAAAUUAAAUUUGAAUCUAAUGUCAACGUUUCGCUGCACAAACUUUCAGUUCAGGCUGUUACGCAUUUAUAAUAUUGCAAUUCAUUUUUUGAUUAAAAAAUGUUAAUGGUGUCACAUUAAUAAUUGUUCUAUUUACAAUUGAAAUUUUUGCAGAUGUCUUUGAUAAGCUGCUUGAAAAAUAGCUCCUGCAAAUUCUUAAUGUUGCAUAUUUUGCUCAGUCAAUGACUGCGGUUCCAUGCAGAGUGUAACUCGACUAAUGCAGUAGCUCGACUAAGCCGCUGAGUCGGAUUGCGUCCUGGUUUGCAUUUAAAAUCGAACUAUGAGUAGCUCACCUCCGUGAAGAGGUGUGGCAUCUUGAGUCCGUCCAGUUCCUACGUUAUAGUGACACCGAUCGUGCACGUCAGAGUGAUUGUUCGAUGCAGACUGUCAUGCACAGACUCUUGCUUUUGCUCACCGGUGUUGGCCCCGACUCACUUAGCAGCCAUGCUUAAGAUUGCAAGCGUAGUGGUAAUGCCGCCUCCUUAAACCAACAAAUCAUGCCUUCUAUCUUCUUGUGGGAACUUACGAACAAAACGACAUGAGUGAAGGAAGUUGAAGACAAAUAUACACAUCUACAGAGCAUGGUUGAGUUACAAAACACAGCAGAUAUCAGGUUCAUCAUGUGUUCUUUGCAGACAUGGGCUAACACCGAGGAACACACUACUACAUCAGGGUACACACACAACUUCUCGAUUGUAAAUAAGGUUGUUAGACAUCAUUCGCCCGUGAUUAGUCUACGAGUUAGUUUAUUUCUACUGUGUAGCUGAGGCUCGUGCAGCUGUACAUCACCCAGUCCGCUCAUAGUGGAGCUACUCGGCUACAUGCUAGCUUCAUCGAGUUACUAACCGCAUCGUCCAGGUCGUGUAGUCCGACUAAGACAAAUUCCACUUUCUUUACAGUAGUUGGACUAAGCUGUUUAUAUGCAUUUUAAAAGUCCAAACGUAGCCGGACUAACACAAUAAUUCAGUUUUCUGAGCCGUCAUGUAACCACAGUCAGUGUUUGGGACAUACUUGAUAGCAUGUCUGUGAAACAAAAAUCAUGCUUGGUUUGCUUUGCGGAGUUGCAAACAAGUGGCAUGAGAUUACUCUACUCAGUAUCUGACAGGAUUCUGGCAUGUUUUAGAACUACUCUCACUUCAGACAGUUGAUACUUGAUGAUUGGAUGAUGAGGUUUCAUGAAACUGUGCUCGGUAGGUGGCGCUCUUGGUUGUAAAAUGAUGUGAGGUGUUAUUGAAUUCAUUGUUUUGAUUGUAUUGAAGAGAUUGCCAUCUAGUGGCCUCAGAAGACGAGGACUGUGUCAUGAAACCUCAUCACUAUCUUACAUAAAGAUGCACAGAAUGUUUGGGUUUGUGGAUUAAGCCUGGAUUAAGUGUCUUGAUGCGCCUUGUUUUCUCGUGUCACUAACUGCUUUCUCUUUUUCUACCUUGGCUCCUGCAUCUUCUCUCCUCCCGUCGGUCUCUUCUGUGUUUCAGAGAUUGAAAUCUGAAAGUUAAACGCUGACGAAUGACUGACUACUGCUUCGUUAAACACUCUUCCACUACCGAAACUAAAACCUGCUGACACGACUACCACUCUUUCUUCUACUACUACUGCUCUUUCCACCACCUCCACUCUUGCAAUGCUACUUCCUCCAGCACCUUCAACUUCCAGCAUUACCGUCGCUGCAUCAGGCCGGUGCUAACACCAAGACGCCGGCAGCCGUUCCACUUUCUACCGGAGCCACGCGGGUCCCCCAAUCCCUCGCUCGCCCAUAUCUGCCGUGCCACCAUGCUACCCAGAGUGGGGCGCUGCUGUCACGUGCGGCCCACGCUCGCAGCCUGGCGUGGGACAGCGAG
RNA transcript from Synchiropus splendidus (mandarinfish), 8851 nucleotides. It is a transcript of the gene named pleckstrin homology domain-containing family A member 1-like, with no coding region annotated. The record is from RefSeq and is a predicted model, not a curated record. NCBI's taxonomy places the organism in Eukaryota, Metazoa, Chordata, Actinopteri, Syngnathiformes, Callionymidae. The transcript is spliced from 14 exons.